AGCUGGGGACCAAACCAACUGAAAGAUUCCCUCCGCCACGUGUUGCUCGCCCAUUAGCCAUUGAGAGUAGUUAGUUAGAUUGUUAGUAGUAUAAAACGAUAGGAUCAUGUAAUGUCCAUUUCACUUUUUUAGCUGAAAUCUUGCUAUUGUAAUCAGAGAGGAUUUCCUCUUUGUAUUUCCUUUCUCUUCAAGUUUCCUACAUUCUAUUUUCCCCUUCUACACCUUUCCCGCCAAGUCUGAUUCUGUAUUUUGAAAGUUAAUGAAUGCAAUGAAGGUGUUCGUUUGAAUUCAUUGUAUCUGCAAACCUGCUAAAUUCAUUUCUGAAGUCUACUUAUUUCCAUUUCCUGCAACAAUUCUGGUUCUGUACCACAACAGUGGUAUCAGAGCUUGAUUGCGAGCCAUAGGGAUGACAAAAAAUCAGGAUGAAACAUUGAUGAGAGACAUAGUGGAGUUAGGGAGUGUGGUCAGGACCUUUACCAACAAGAGUGAGGGAAUGGAACAAGCAAUCAGGACAAUGGAGUUCAGACAGGAUACUACUGAAAAGCUUCUGAAAGAAUUGGACCAAAAAUAUGAAGGAAUGAUGAACAUGAUGGCUCAGUUGAUGGCUAAGGUCAGUGAUCGAGGAAAAGGACUGAAGGGAGGUAGCAGCUCAAGAGAAGGAGCUCAACCUGAUGAGUCCAAGUUGGAAUCUCAGAAGGAAUCUUUUGGCAAAAGGGAGACCAGAACCAAUAACAGGUGGCCUAAAAUGGAUCUGCCAAUUUUUUAUGGUGAUAACCCAAGGGCGUGGAUCAGGAAGGCUAACAAAUACUUCAAAAUACAUGGAAUAGAAGAGGACAUGAAGGCUGAGAUGGCUGAGCUCUAUUUUAGAGACAGAGCAGACAUCUGGUUCCAUGGAGUCUUCCAUGGUAGAGAGGCGAUUCCCUGGUCAGAGUUAUCUACUGCUCUGAGUAUCAGAUUUGGAGAAAGGAGUCCAAAGAAAGCUAUUGAAGAGUUCAACAAACUGGUGCAAUCUGGAUCCGUGGCUGAAUACCUUGAGAAGUUUGAGAUGCUCAAAGCUCUGGUAAUGCCAUCCUUGCCCUAUUUAUCUGACUCUUACUAUAAGGCAUGCUUCAUGAGUGGAUUGAAGGAAGAAAUAGUUAAAAUGGUGAAGAUGUCUAAACUUGAAACUUUGGCUGUUGCAAUAGAGAUGGCAAAGCUCCAAGAAAAAAACCUCAAAGCUAUCCAGAGAAUGCAAAAACCUGUCACAUCUAGUUUUAAUAACCAAAAAACCCACAGUAAAGCUCUACCCCACCCUAAAUGGAACCAAAACAACUCCAACUACCCAAACAGAUUCCAUGAUCAAAAUGCAACUAGUUAGAGCCAAUUUAAGAAAAUAUCCCCCACAGAGUUCAACUUGAGAAGAGAAAACGGACUAUGCUAUAAAUGUGCUGAACCCUACACUUUGGACCAUGUAUGCAAACAGUCUCAUGUGCAUUUCUUAUUGGCUGAGGAAAUUGAGGUUGCGGAGGAGAGCAAGGGACAGGAGGAGGAGAUCUACUGUGACUGUAUUAAUGGGGACUUGACUGAUAAACACAUAGAGGUGUCUGUCCAUGCUUUGGCUGGGGGAAUGGGACACAAAACCAUCAAACUAGAGAGGUUGGUGAGAGGUAGGCAGAUUACUGCCUUAAUAGAUAGUGGCAGUACACAUUGCUUCAUAGAUGAGCAGUUGGCAAUGGAACUGAAAUUGGGGACACGAGGACCUAUACUGAUAGUAAAUGUAGCUAAUGAAGAGAGAGUGGGCUCAAGAGGGUUAGAUAGGUUAUUGUAUUGGGAAAUACAGGGCCAUAAGUUCCAACACCCCUUCAACACCUUGAAGUUGGGUGGCUGUGACACGAUCUUAGGAGUGGACUGACUAGCCAAACACAAUCCCAUAGAAUUCAACUUUAAGGAGCUCAACAUGAAGAUCUGCAAGGGACGACAAGAAGUAGUGCUGCUUGGGAAGAGCACCAACACUGAGCUGAAAAUGCAAAAAGGAAGUAGAAUAGAGAAGUGGUUAAAGAGGCAAACAUAUGGGGUGAUAGCUCAGUUAGUAGCAGUAGAAGGAGAGGGGAAUCCAGAUCAGAUACCUACUGAGAUUAGCCAGAUAAUAGAGCAAUACAGGGAUGUUUUUGCAAAACCAAAGGGAAUGCUUCCAACCAGGAGCCAUGAUAACCAAAUUGUGUUAAAGGAAGAAGCCAAGCCUUUCCAGGUGAGGCCAUACAGGUGUCCAUAUGUACAGAAGACAGAAAUCAAGAAGUUAGUGAAAGAAAUGUUGGAAAUAGGGAUCAUACAACCUAGCAGUAGCCUAUUUGCUUUCCCAGUGCUGCUAGUGAAGAAGAAGGAUGGAACUUGGAGGUUCUGUAUGGAUUACAAGCAGCUAAAUGAAUUGACAGUGAAGAACAAGUUUCCUAUGCCUUUGAUUGAGGAAUUGAUAGAUGAGCUACAUGGGGCUAAGUACUUCACUAAGAUUGAUCUAAGAGCAGGAUACUUCCAAAUCAGUGUCAAGAUGGAAGACAUUCAAAAAACUGCCUUCAGAACUCACCAAGGACUUUAUGAGUUCAAGGUCAUGCCAUUUGACUUGACCAAUGCUCCUGCAACCUUCCAGAGCCUAAUGAACCAGGUCUUCCAAGAACAAAUGAGGAAGCAUGUUCUGGUAUUCUUUGACGACAUCCUAGUCUAUAGCCCUACCAUGGAAAUGCAUGUCAAAAAUGUUACUAAAGUACUAAAUAUACUAAGGCAGCACCAGCUAUAUGCUAAGAUGAGCAAGUGCACUUUUGCACAGCUACAGGUAGAAUAUUUAGGACACAUCAUAUCAGCAGAGGGAGUUCAAGCUGACCCUAUGAAAGUGGAAUGCAUGGAGAAAUGGCCCAGGCCAAAGAAUGUCAAGCAGCUGAGGGGGUUUCUGGGGUUAACAGGCUACUACAGAAGGUUUGUCAAAGGGUAUGGAGCCAUAGCCAAACCUUUGACAAACCUACUGAAGAAUGACAACUUUCAGUGGGGGGAGGGUUCAAAGGAGGCUUUCCAAGAGCUGAAAAGAGCCAUGUGUAGCACCCAUGUAUUGGCUAUGCCUGAUUUCACCCAACCAUUCAUUAUUGAAACAGAUGCCUGCCAUCAAGGCAUGGGAGCUGUACUGAUGCAAAACAGGAAAUCCAUUUCUUACCUCAAUCAGGCCCUGGGACAGAAGAACAUGGGAUUAUCUAUAUAUGAAAAAGAGCUACUAUCUUUGGUGACUGCUGUGACCAAGUGGAGACACUAUUUAGAGGGUCAUCACUUCAUCAUACAUACUGACCAUCAGAGCUUAAAAUACUUGCUAGAGCAGAGGAUCACUACACCUCUUCAACAGAAAUGGCUCACCAAAUUGCUGGGACUGAGCUAUGAAAUUCAUUACAAAAAGGGAAAGGACAAUAUUACAGCUGAUGCUCUCUCCAGACAAGGCAGGGAUGAGGCAGGUGAAUGCAAGGCCAUCUCCAGUGCAGUGCCUACUUGGAUCGGUGAAGUGAUGGAGAGUUACAAGGAGGAUGUGUGGGUUCAAGGAACAAUUUCCCAGGCACUACUGACUCCUACUCAAGUACCAGACUACUCCUACCAAGAUGGUGUUCUCAUAUACAAAAAGAGGUUGGUAGUGGGAGGACAAGAAGAUAUCAGAAGGAAACUUAUCACUGCCUUACAUGACUCCCAGAUGGGAGGACAUUCAGGUAUCUAGGCCAGCUACAUGAGGGCCAAACAACUGUUCUACUGGCUAGGGAUGUACGAAGAGAUCAAGAACUUUGUUCUGGAGUAUGACACAUGUAGGAAGUGUAAAGAUGAGCAUGUGGUGACAGGGUGUCGAAACCUGUGCAAUAAUAAAACAUGCCCAAACUAAAAUUAAUUUCUGUAGAUAGUAGUAAGCAGGGUCGAAUCCACAGGGAUUGGGAGUAAUUGUUUCUUUUUAAAUUCACAGUGACAAGGGGGUGUUUUUAUCUCAGGGGUGACAAUUUAAACAAUCCAACUAAAAGUAAAAUAAUAAAAAUAAAAUAGCCAACUAGAAAUUAAAUAACAAUUUACUAAAAUCAGAGGGUCUAGCCAAAGAAUAACUUCAACAAUGGUUCACCUAAUUGAUCAUCGACACAAAGCCAAUUACAAUUAUUUACCAAUAAAUAGGUUAUAACUGCCAAACAAGCGAUGACAGUCAACCCCUCCUUACUGUGUCGGUGAUUAAGGUACGCCCGUUAAUCACUGCUCUAAUUGAGAAAUAAUUUUAGGUACGCCCGUAGAAUUUAAUUCCUCAAUUGCCUUACGUAUUAGAGGAGCCCUAUUCUAAUCAAAUAACGCACUACCAUGGUUAUUUUAGAUUAGCCCGCGUAUUCCCCUGACACAAACCUAAUCAUGCCAGUUAUCACUAUUUUGAGACAAUUAAACAAUUACGGAUUUAACGUCCUAAUUGAUAAUAGAUUAUCAAAUUAACUAAUUAUCCGGAUCCAAAACAAUCAAUUAAUUAAAUAACCAUGAGCAUAGAAAUCAGGAAAUAUGCGGAUACCAAUAAAUAAAAGAAAAAGAUAAAAUUAAAUCGAUCUCACAAUUUUAGGCGACCCAAAGCAUCCGUUGUCCCUUGACUAGAUAAAGGGGUUUAAUUCAUUGUUGAUGAGAAAAACCCAUACAAAACUGAAGUGAUAGUUGCGGCCAUUAUGUGGUAGGAGGAAUUCACUACAGACCGCAAGGAAAAAUCAAACAAAAAAGCUACAGGGAAAUGAUUCAAUGCUUCAAUGGCUUCUGACAUCCGAGAGGCAACUACUACUAAGAAGCAAAGGAAGGAAAAGUCAAAGGUGAAAGCUAAGCUACAGGAUGAAAGGCUAAGGAAGCCAGCCGUCUUCAGUCCUCUGCUGCUCUGCUUCUUAUGUGCGGCGGCACCCUCCGAAAAGAAGUCUACGGCCCAUUCUGCCCAACAAGGGUUCAUGUUUUGUUGUUCCAAAAAUACCCCUAGGACAAGCUCUAUCAUCUGGACUCUUUUCCUGUCAAAUUAGCACCUGUUAUUAUAUUUUCGUUCUACUCCCUGAAAUAAAUGUAAAAUACUAAAAGUGAGUAGAAUCUAAUAAUUAGUUCACAUUGGGUCAGGUAAUAGGGAAAAUUAAUGAUAAAAUAAAUGAUAAAAUUGCAACCUAUCAUGUGGCUUACCCUGGACUACUGCAACCCCUCCCUAUUCCCCAACACUCAGAGAGCCAUGUCACUAUGGACUUCAUUGAGGGGUUACCAAAAUCAGAAGGGAAAGGCAUCAUAAUGGUAGUAGUGAACAGAUUUACCAAAUAUGCUCAUUUCAUCAGUAUAGCACACCCUUUUAAUGCUCCAAAGAUAGCCAGGCUCUUCAUUGAUUAUGUCAGUAAGCUGCAUGGGAUUCCCCAGAGCAUGCUGUCAGAUAGGGACAGGAUAUUUGUCAGCCAAUUCUGGGGGAGAACUUUUUACUAUGCUGCGAGCUAAAUUAGACUACAGCAUAGCUUAUCACUCUCAGACUGAUGGCCAAACUGAGAGGUGAACCAGGUGCUGGAAAUGUACCUCAGAUGCCUUACUCAUCUAGAACCUAGGAGAUGGAGCCAGUGGCUAUCUCUGGCAGAGUGGUGGUACAAUACCACCCAUCACACAGCAAUAUAGAUGACCCCAUUCGAGGCAUUGUAUGGAAUUCCCCCUCCCCAACUAGCCCUGGGACCCUACCUGCAAACCAGAGUGGCUGCAGUGGGGGACUAUGUCAAGGAAAGGCAGCAGAUAGACAACAUGUUGAAACAGAACUUGAGGGUAGCUCAGGAAAGGAUGAAGAAAUAUGCAGAUGAAAGGAGGAGUGAGAGAGAAUUCAGGGAAGGUGAUUGGGUGUAUCUGAGGUUACAACCAUAUAGGCAAAGCUCAGUUGCUCUAAGGGGAAAUACCAAGCUCACAGCCAAAUAUUUUGGUCCCUACAAGUUAGAGAAGAGGAUUGGGAAUGUAGCUUACAGAUUACAACUACCUACCACCUCUAGGGUGCAUCCUGUUUUCCAUGUAUCCCUACUCAAGAAAAAGGUGGGUGACAAGGCCACUCCUACCCUCCAGCUACCUGAAUUAGAUGAGAAGGGGCAUUGGAAGGUUGAGCCAGUGGCUGUGCUUGAUAGAAGGAUGGUGAAAAAGGGCAAUGCUGCUGCAGUACAGUGGUUAAUCCACUGGUGGGGUACAGAUCCUGCAAAAGCUACAUGGGAGGAGGCUGAAGGGAUUAAGAGAUAGUUUCCCAAGUUUCAAUCUUGAGGACAAGAUUAAUUUCCAGGAGGGAGUAUUGUAAUGAAGUCAAAAGUCAGAAAGUGUGAAGGACAAAGAAGGGAAGGCGUGAGGCUGGCCAGAAGGGUAACUGGGAAGGCGCGAUCAGAAACUAGCAUUACACAGGGAGAAGGAAAGCGUGAGGGGACUAUGAAGAAGGCGUGGAUUUGGCAAACGCAGUAGGAGAAGGCGCACCCAAGGAACCACGCUUUUGCUGGGUUCAUGCGAUCUCUGCUGAAGCUGGGGACCAAACCAACUGAAAGAUUCCCUUCGCCACGUGUUGCUCGCCCAUUAGCCAUUGAGAGUAGUUAGUUAGAUUGUUAGUAGUAUAAAACGAUAGGAUCAUGUAAUGUCCAUUUCACUUUUUUAGCUGAAAUCUUGCUAUUGUAAUCAGAGAGGAUUUCCUCUUUGUAUUUCCUUUCUCUUCAAGUUUCCUACAUUCUGUUUUCCCCUUCUACACUUUUC
This 6732-nucleotide long non-coding RNA is filed under the name Coffea arabica (coffee). Its description in RNAcentral is "long non-coding RNA (CARA_LNC006699)". The record is from RNAcentral. Lineage: Eukaryota; Viridiplantae; Streptophyta; Magnoliopsida; Gentianales; Rubiaceae.